Molecule: ribosomal RNA, 403 nt
Filed under: uncultured bacterium
Lineage: Bacteria
Description: partial 16S ribosomal RNA
Rfam family: Bacterial small subunit ribosomal RNA
Source: RNAcentral
GACGAACGCUGGCGGCGUGCUUAACACAUGCAGGUCGAGCGAGCGGCGGACGGGUGAGUAAUGUAUGGGGACUGCCCGCUAGCGGGGGAAUACUACUGGAAACGGUAGCUAAUACCGCAUACUAUCGGAUCACCUACAUGGGGUUAGCUAGUAGGUGAGGUAAUGGCUCACGUAGGCGACGAUCCCUAGCUGGUCUGCGAGGAUGAUCAGCCACAGUGGGAUUGAGACACGGCCCAGACUCCGACGGAGGAGGCAGUGGAGAGUAUUGCACGAUAGGCGCAAGGCGGAUGCAGCAAUGCCGCGUGUAUGAAGAAGGCCAUAGGGUUGUAAAGUACUUUCAGGCGGGAGGCGUUAGGGACAGAAGGAGCACCGGCUAACUCCGUGCCAGCAGCCGCGGUAAUAC